AAGAAGAAGAAGAAGAUGCUUUAUUUCCAUAAAAUGGGCUCACAAGGAGCAUAAUAUAAUAUCAUUGUAAUAUAAUAUUCUUUUACAAAUAUAAUAAACAACACAAGUUACAAACACAAAUAAGAAACAACAGUUAUCACAUAUUAGUAUAUAUAUAAAACCUUUGUCUCAGGCACACCUCUGGAAAGUAACAAAAAAGAAUACUGUGAGUAGGCUAAAUAUAUCUAGCUGAACUGCAAGAGGCACCUAGGGACGGUGCUAUAUGGCAUGGUGGGUGCAUAUUAAAAUGUGUUUCGGGACAUUAAUGAUAUGGUAAGAUAUUGUAAGAAGUUGCACAUAAAUGGUAUGUCAUCCUCGUGCCUGGUGCAGAGGAGUCAGUACUAUUUAAAGUGACACAACUGCAAGAGGCACCAAGGGACAAUGCUAAUUGACAUGCCAAAGUGCACAAAUUACAAAAAAGAUAAAAUAUUACCAGUUUAAUAAAAAAAAUAAUAAUAUCGCAAACAAGAAGGUAAUAGAACUUGUACGAUGUGUCCUGUACCCCACCAUGCCAA
Molecule: long non-coding RNA, 554 nt
Filed under: Mytilus galloprovincialis (Mediterranean mussel)
Lineage: Eukaryota; Metazoa; Mollusca; Bivalvia; Mytilida; Mytilidae
Source: RNAcentral